AUUGAACGCUGGCGGCAUGCCUUACACAUGCAAGUCGAACGGCAGCACGGGAGCAAUCCUGGUGGCGAGUGGCGAACGGGUGAGUAAUAUAUCGGAACGUGCCCGGUCGUGGGGGAUAACGUAGCGAAAGCUACGCUAAUACCGCAUACGAUCUACGGAUGAAAGCGGGGGAUCGCAAGACCUCGCGCGAUUGGAGCGGCCGAUAUCAGAUUAGGUAGUUGGUGAGGUAAAGGCUCACCAAGCCGACGAUCUGUAGCUGGUCUGAGAGGACGACCAGCCACACUGGAACUGAGACACGGUCCAGACUCCUACGGGAGGCAGCAGUGGGGAAUUUUGGACAAUGGACGCAAGUCUGAUCCAGCCAUUCCGCGUGCAGGAUGAAGGCCCUCGGGUUGUAAACUGCUUUUGUACGGAACGAAAAGGUUUCUAUUAAUACUAGGAGCUCAUGACGGUACCGUAAGAAUAAGCACCGGCUAACUACGUGCCAGCACG
This 492-nucleotide ribosomal RNA is filed under the name uncultured bacterium. RNAcentral describes it as "bacterial SSU rRNA". It matches the Rfam family "Bacterial small subunit ribosomal RNA", at positions 30 to 515 of the family's 1533-position model. The record is from RNAcentral.